Molecule: long non-coding RNA, 7016 nt
Organism: Oncorhynchus masou masou (cherry salmon)
Lineage: Eukaryota; Metazoa; Chordata; Actinopteri; Salmoniformes; Salmonidae
Exons: 2
Source: RefSeq, a predicted model, not a curated record
GAACAUGCACAAUUGGUGGCUGACUAAAUACUUUUUUGCCCCACUGUGUGUGUGUGUGUGUGUGUGUGUGUGUGUAUAUAUAGAUAGAUUAAAAGCAGAAGGAGCCUUUUAGAUCUCGGAAGAAAUGGAUUGAGGGAGAACAGAAUUCAUCCUAUUUCUUUAGACUUCAGAAAUUUCACUCUACAAAUAACACUAUCCAUAAGUUAAACAUUGGUGUUAUUACAGAUGACCACAAUUAAUCGCUAAAUACUGUAGCAAUUUUUACAGAAAAUUGUAUAGCUCUACGUACUGCCAGGAAUCCACAGAUAUGAUUUUUGACUCCACUGAAUAAUGUUCACUCUAUCAGUGAUAUAGAAUCUAAACAGUGUGAACCCAUCAAAGUUGAGGAGAUUACAGUCUAUCAAACAUCUAAAGAACAAUAAAUCACCAGGUGUUGAUGGAAUUCAUCAGAAUUUUACAAAUUAUUUUUUGAACAAGUAGCUCCCUUCCUAUUUGAUGUCUUUUUAGAGUAUUAAAAACAAUGUUCUCCCUCCUACAAUGAGUCAGUGGUUAAUAACACUGAUACCUAAGCCUAAAAAAGUACUGCUCAUCGAUAAUUGGUGUCCAAUUUGUAGUCUUAAUAAUGACUACAAGAUAUUAGCCUUACUACUUGCAAAAAUAAUUAAAGAAGUCCUGGAUGCAAUCAUUGAAACACAGUUUGGCUUUAUGAGGAACAGACAUAUUUCUAACAAUAUCAGACUAGUAUUAGACAUACUUGACUACUCAGACCUAAUAACCCGUGGAUAGCUUCAUAUUUUUAGAUUUUCAUAAAGCAUUUGACACAGUAGAGCAUCAGUUCCUCUUCCAGUCCCUUGAGAGACUUGGCUUUGGGGAUUUUUUUUUCUAUAUGGCUAUUAAGACUCUACAAAUGGUAACAGCUCUAUCAAAUUAAAAUAUGACACCUCGCCUAGAUUUGAGUUAAAGAGCAGAAUUAAGCAAGGUUGUCCUAUCGCUUUUUACCUGUUUUUAUUAAUCACACAAAUUCUUUAAAUAAUUGUCCUGUACAAGUUAUUUCCAUAGCUGGUAAAGAAAUGGUUAUAAGCCAGCUGGCUGACGAUACUACACUUUUUUUCUGAAAGAUGCUAACCAAAUUCCCAUAUCGAUCAAUUUGAUACAAUCCUUUUCCAAAGCGUCUGGUCUAUAUCUUAACAUUAAUAAAUGUGAACUCAUGCCUGUCAAAGAUUGUGUGACACCUUCAUAUUAUGGUAUUAAAGAAAAGAAGAACUUACCUAUUUAGGCAUAACCAUUACAAAAAAUCGGAAGUCUAGAGGCUUACUAAAUUUUAACCCUCUUAUUUAUAAAAACAAAAACAGAACAAGCUAAAUCAAUGGCUACGUAGGGACUUCUUUUAAAAGGAAGUCCUAAUAACCAAGGCUGAAGGUAUCUCUAGACUAACAUAUGGCACUCUCUUUUAUAUCUUGACAGUAAAAUAAGCAAGGCGAUAGACCAGAUGAUUUUCUACUUUCUGUGGAGAAACCAUACCCAUUACAUUAGGAAAACUGUUGUAUUGAACACUUAUGAGAAUGGUGGGCAAAUUUUUCUGGACUUUACUAUCUUAAAUAAUAGUUUUUAAGAUCAAUUGUAUAAAACAAUUCCUAAGAAGACACACUUCUGUGUGUAAUUUUAUUCCUCAUGUCCUCUCUACUUUUGUUGGCCAUAACUUCAUGUUGGUUUGCAAUUAUAAUAUUGACAAAGUUCCAGUGAAACCUGCUGAUGAAAAGCAGAAAGUUUUCUUGUCAUGGUCCUUAAAACCCUUUCAUGCUUGAGUUUCAAAUAUCUCUAACGGUCGCCCCAGCGUGAGUUUUUUUUAAAAUUUAUUUUAUUUUUUAUGCACGUGAUGUUAGAAUGUUCUCUCCAUUCCAGAAUGUGAUUGAUACGUAACAGUGCAUUUAAUCUGCGCUGCCCUCAAACUAAAAGCACGCAGCCCGUUUUUAUUUAUAGGCUGUUUCAACUUCAAUUUCAAAUGAAUUUCUAACAAGUUUUUAUUUUCUAAGAACAGUUUGAAUUUAGGAGUGUUCCACCUCAUUCAUUCUCAUAAAAAUGGUUAUUUUUAACUUUUGUUGACAAUUGUAAUAUUUGGGGCAUUUCUGACCUGGACAAAAUUCCCCAAGCACUUCCCAAUUGUUUGUGCAGAUCAAGUCUGCAGACAUUUGUUCAUCUCCCGUCAGAACAGGAUCUGCACACGUGUUCACAUUUUCCAUCUGUUGCCCUCAUUGCAGUCAUUGUUUUCGUUACUAAUAAUAACUUUGGAAAUGUGUGCGUUUCUAUCAAAGUGAAUUAUUACGUUGUAAUAGUUUCUGUAUGUCGUUUCUAUUGUAGCGUACUGUAUGUAUGGAGCAUAAUAUAUUUGUGUAUAUUCUUUAUAACCGCGGACACGUGAGGUAACGUUACUCAUUUUAUAACCUGCAUGGUGUUAUAUUCAAUCGUGCUUAUGCAGCUAGCUACUUCUAUCAGCUCUGUAAAACAAUGCUAAUUGCAUCAGAGAAGUAUUAUCUUGUGAUGUAUUUUGAAGCUACAUGGCCUUAUGACUCCCAAGUGGCACAGGGGUCAAAGGCACGGCGCAUCCGUGCUAGAGGCGUCACUACAGACUCCCUGGUUCAAAUCCAUGCUGCAUUUCUAUCAAAAAACCACAAACAGUAUUUGCCAAUAUCAUAACUGGAAUUGGACAUCUUUGGAGCUGAAGAAUGAGGACAGCUUUUGUAUGCUAACCUACACUCCUUAAUUAACAGUUGUACUGGAUGAAAACACAGCAAGAAAACACACAGGCCAAUAUGUAAUAGUCGUCUAUUUUAUUGCAGUAUUGGUAGUUGGUUAAACAACAACUUGUACUAGAGGACAAAAAGCGGAAUAUGCAUAACCCAUAUUUAAUAUUCAUGCAGUGACUGAACAACUGCAUUUCCACCCCCACCUCUAAAGGCAUAGUAUCAUGGCAGGUCACCUGUCAAGUCACCUGUCAGGUCAGUCAGUCACUUAUUGCUGCAGAUGUGCUCAAUAAUGCUUGAGCAAUGUGAUACUCCUCAAAGCAUGGUGAAAUACAUAGAGGUGUAUCACAAGCUAAACACAUGUAUUUUGUCAUCUCCUGGCGCCAGACAGGCAGACUUUGCAGUGCCUCCGUGUGCGACUACCUUGAGCAGCAGUUUGAGGGACUUUGCAGGGAAAAUGCUGUGUAGUGAGGUGUAGGGUAUUGUCUACAGCAGGACAACCCCCAGUGGAUGGGCGCCGAGGGGUGUGGUGCUCCUCCAGCAGCUCUCUCAUGAGCUUCUCUCUGUACUUUUGGUAGGUAAUUACUUUACCUAUGAGGAUGAUGAGGCAGUGGGUAGGUGGGUGAGAUAUUGUCACUAUAAUUGCAUAAUGGAUUUAUGUGAACGGUACAUCCAGUUACAAAAAUACCUUGUUCAGUAAUCAUCUCACCUGUUAGUUGGCGGUGAACUAUGCUGCCGUUGAGGACAGCAGUGUCGACCAGAUGGAAAAAAUAUCUUCUUAUACCACUUGGUCAUAUUCAGAGUGCAUUCCACAAAGCUGUUUAUUAUGUCCUCCUUAUCCACGGCCCCCAUUUUGAGGAUAUAUUCAAGCACACAAUCUGGUUUGAUCUUUCUCUCUCCCGUCAGGUGGUCCACCUUCCCUGUGGCCGACAUGGUUGCUGUAUGGACAGUUGAGAGGACGAGGACGUCUCGUUUGUCAUGCCACUUUACUGCCAGCUGUUGACCGUUCUCCUGGAACUCCACCUCCCCUCUCUGCAUCUUCCUGCAUCCGUAUGCCGGCAUCCCCUUCCUGUUCGACCUGACUGUGCCACAGGCCCCUGUGCUGUUGGAGAGCAGAUAAGGUGGAAGAGUGUGGGACUGCUGUACCAAUUGUCCACGUAAGUCCCUUGCCGAGAUGAGUAGCCAGCAUGGUCAUCACCACGGACCCGGACACCCCAAGCCCCUCAUAAUGUUGGAUGUCAGCGGUGGACCCUGUGUAUACUAUAAUAUCCUAGACAAAUCCUGUCUUCACGUCGCACAUGACAAAGAAUUUCACUCCAAACCUGUGCCUUUUGGCGGGAAUAUAUUGACAGAAUGCCAGCCUACCUUUCCAUAACAUCAGGGACUCAUCAAUGCAUAGGUCCUUGUAUGGCACAAAGACACGCCCAAAUGCUGAUGUCAGGCUGAUAAGAACAUUUCUUAUUUUGUAUAACGGGUCACUUAGGAUGGCAGAAGCAUUGUUGACGAAAUGCAGGCAUCGCAGCAGAACAAGGAAGCGGUCUUGGGAAAAGAGGUUUGCAAAGAAGGGAGUUGUGAACAUAGGAUCUGUGCUCCAGUAUUCUCAAAGGGAGUUCUUCUUUACUAUUCCCAUGAGAAGGACUGGCACCAGGAAGGUAUACAUUUCACUAAUUGUGGUUGUCACCCAUUUAGUGAGUUUCCCCCUCACUACUGGCUCUCUCUUCUGUAGCUCCAAGGCAUAGCGAUUGGUCCCCUCUACUGUUUCCACCAACUCUUCUGUCAGAAACAACUUGAAGCACUCUGCCUCAGUUGGAAAUGGCAAGGGGCAUUGCAUUCCAGACUGCAAACAGCAGGGCCAGGAGGGGUGAAAUGACUGGCGGCCUUCCAGCUACCACAGAACUCCUGUACUUCAUCCACUGUCGUUCUGCCUCCAUCACCACCAGCAUCUUCAAAGGGACCUGGUACUUCAUCAGUGGACAAGGGAACCUCCGAUUCAGGGUUCUCAAUGGCUACAAGGUUGGGGGGCAGCUCCUUACUGUCACUGUCAGAAUCUGAUUCCUGACUUUCAGACUCAUUGUCAUAAUUUUAAGAAAUCUCCAGAAUUUCCACAUUUGUGAGUUGUCUCCUUUUCAAAGACAUUGCUAAUGCUACAGCUUAGCUCACUAGCUACAUACAUUAACAACAACACUGAAUGGCCCAGAGUGAGAUGGUAUGUGGUUGACUGCCGGCACGUACCACUUGUAUCAAUAAAUCACUAUCAAAAAAUGCUUUGUGUGGCAAUUAUUUGUGUAUUUACUGUCUUAUUCACAUGUUUUAAGUUCUUGGUGACAAAUCAUGCAUUCCGAUUCUUGCAUAGAUUGUAAUGGGCACAUAUUAUGUCUAAAAUACUUUUUUGAAGGUUGUACUGAUUAUGAGCUAAGCCAAUUCCAGCUGUGUAGCCAUGUUUGUUGACAUGCAAUGCAUUCUGGGUUUCACGUAAUCGUCUGUUUGACCAAAGAUGUUAUAACGAAAGGAAGUGAGUAAGUGUUCACAUUUUUUUUUUGAGGACUUCCAGAAAUGAGUGGUGGGAUGUGAACAACGGUAGAUGACACACCCCUUCAACAUGCAUACUAUAAACAGACCAAACUCAUCUCGUCAUAUUUGGUUUCUGCGAGGAAAAAAUGCAUGGCUGCGCGAUGAAACUAAUCGUCAGGAUUAUUUUCGAUUUUUAGAAAGUGUUUUACUGAAUUAUUUUGAUCAAUGGUGAGCUCACCCGUGAUGUGAUUAAUUAUAUAUGGUAAUUGCUAUUAGCUCAUUCAUAUUGUAGUUUAUGUCAGCCGAGAGUUAGAAAAUAUGACUGCUUGUGUUGGGUCAAUCUUUCCUCAGCGGUAGGACAAAUGUAGCCUACAUUUUUCUGGUUAGGAUGAUUGUGUUAUGCUAUAUAUACUUCUGUGAAUAUCUGAACAUUGCAUCCAAAAAUAAGCUGCUUACAUUCUGGACAUUUUUAUUUAUUUCACCUUUAUUUAACCAGGUAGGCAAGUUGAGAACAAGUUCUCAUGUACAAUUGCGACCUGGCCAAGAUAAAGCACAACUUUGUAAGGACUGUUUGUGUAAAUAGUUUCUGAAAAAAGUGUGGCCAGCUCAAAUGCUUAUUGUUGCGUCAUUUGAAACUGGCCAUUCUAAUCACACAGGGUGUGAUCGUAGCUUCAGGGACAGCUGUAGAACGAUCACACCUGUGUGAUGGUACGUGUGAAAGGGUUCAUUUAUAAGCAGAAUUUUUCUCCACACACAUUAUAUAUGGAACAAUCUGGAUAUAUUGUAUAAAAAUAGUUUGUUUUUAGAAUAUAAGUUCUGAAAUAAUAUCCUAUUGGUGAGCCAACUGGUAAACGCAGAGGGUAUUUUACUCAGUUAUAAGGAAUUCUUAUCACUUUACAAGUUCCCUGUAACACCUAAACAUUUUGCAAUUGUCUUUGAUUCCAUUCCCUCAGGUGUUGCUUUAUUAUUCAGGAACGUGUCAAGACCUGACCCUCAGAACCUACCUUCUGUUGAACCUGUUGACUCAUCAGUAGGAAAGAUUUGUUUCUCUUUUGGUCCAUUCAACAAUAGGAAUACGAACCUUGUUUCAGCAGGAUGUUGUAUCUAUACCUUAUGUCAUGCCUUAUUGGAAUGGAUUUAUUGAUAAUAUCUGUUGCAAAAAAAGUUUGGAUGUUGCCAGACACAACUUCCUUAAAUUUUUGUUAACAAGUAGGUUUGUUUAAAAAAUAUAAAUAUUAUUCUUCCAACAACUACAUGAAGAAGUUUAAGGAAAACAUCAACUCAAAUUGCUCCUUUUGUAAUGACCACCCAGAAACAGUGUUGCAUCUUUUUUGGCAUUGUAUUCAUGUAAGAAAACUGGCAAGACAUCAGUAGAUUUAUAAUUGAACAUAUUCAUGAGGAUCUUACACUUGUAGAGAGAUGUACUGCUUGGAUUCUUUACCUAUGAUAGAAAUAAGCUGAAACAUUUGUCAUUAAUUUCAUUAUUCUUUUGGCAAAUUUCAUAUUCACAAAUGUAAAUUUACAAGCAAAACACAUUUUCUUACCUUACAAAAAGAAAUGGAACUGUAUUUUAAGACAAUUAAAUACUCUUAACAAAAAAGCUGUUAGAAUAAUAAGUAUGUCCCUUAAGGUCCUUGUGUAAUGUGAUAUUGUAGCCCCACCCCUAGCCCAAUUGUCCUUUGUAUAUUAUUUAUAUAUACUUGUGUUCCCACAUGUACUUCCUGUAUUGAUUUUGUUGUUAAUAAAAUGAAACUGGUAAAUUUU